UUUUUUACCCUUUCCAAAUAUAAAAUUGCAUUUUACAUUAAAUAGGCUUUUUGGAUAAUAUAUGGCAAUUCUGAUGCUCUGGGAACUGCAAAGUACUACUAAGCUUGUUAAAACUCUGAGUGAAGUAAGAGUAAGUAGGCUCUAAAUCAAGGCCAGACACGGUUUCCUGGGGUGAAAAACGCACCUGUGUUUGUGUAUGGUUAUUGGUAUAAUGAAUUUGGCUCUCCGAUUUCUGAUUUUUUACAUAUUCUUCAUUGAGGGAGUUAUCACAUAAAUGUUACUGAACUUUAGGUCUGAGUGAAAGUCAAUUUUUGUUAUCUGUGAGAAACAAUAGCUAUCUUAAAAAUUUUGUUUGAGAAGAGGCAAGAAACUUGGGAUGACCUGAAAAACGCUGGAACAUUUGGAAAAUGCAUGCUAUCCUAUCUGUAGCUAUUUCUAAGUAUUUCAUGAUCAGUUUGCAAUUUGACAUCAAAUUCUGAGUGUAAUGCUUAGCUGACCUAACCCGAGAGCUGUAUCCGCUGGAUUUUUGCUGUACGUGGUCAAAUGUAAUUAAACAGAAGGCCUUCUGUAGUGGCCCUUGCUUUGAACAGUAGCAGUAUACAAGUCCCAUCUCUGUAGUGGGCCUCUGCAUUUUUAGAGUAAAUGAGCUACUUGACUUAGCCUUCUCUCUCCCAUCUUCCCAUAGAUUCAAGUCUCUCCUAUCAAAAACCAAUUUAGACUUACAUUCAGAGGAGACACUUCAAAUGGGAUUGUAGGAAACAUAUGUAUAUGUGCAUAUCUGCAGGAACUGUUUGCUCAAAGAAUUGGCCAUUAUGAAUUUUAGCUACUGCCCAACUGUUCUUCAAGACCUUUUUAUGAAUUCCUACUUUCACAAAGGCAAAUCCGCCCGCCGUACAAACUAUUGGGACUUCCUGGCUGAUUGUGGUGUGGAUGUUGUAAGUACCAAUCUGCUGUGUGCUUCCCCGCUCCUUCUUCUGUUCCUCUUUAUCCCCGCUCCUUGUUCUCUUCCCCUUUAUCAAUAAACUCUGAUUGCUUAAACAACCAAA
Non-coding RNA from Equus caballus (horse), 1046 nucleotides. The record is from RefSeq and is a predicted model, not a curated record. NCBI's taxonomy places the organism in Eukaryota, Metazoa, Chordata, Mammalia, Perissodactyla, Equidae.